GACGGAGGGUGCAAGCGUUGCUCGGAAUCAUUGGGCGUAAAGGGUGCGUAGGCGGCUUCUUAAGUCUGGCGUGAAAGCCCAGGGCUUAGCCUUGGAAGUGCGCCAGAAACUGGGAGGCUAGAGUGCCGGAGGGGAGAGUGGAAUUCCUGGUGUAGCGGUGAAAUGCGUAGAUAUCAGGAGGAACACCGGUGGCGAAGGCGGGUCUCUGGGCCGAUACUGACGCUGAGGAGCGAAAGCGUGGGGAGCGAACAGG
RNAcentral lists this ribosomal RNA (253 nucleotides) under uncultured bacterium. Its description in RNAcentral is "partial 16S ribosomal RNA". It matches the Rfam family "Bacterial small subunit ribosomal RNA", at positions 524 to 776 of the family's 1533-position model. The record is from RNAcentral.